CCUACGGGAGGCAGCAGUGGGGAAUAUUGCACAAUGGGCGCAAGCCUGAUGCAGCGACGCCGCGUGAGGGAUGACGGCCUUCGGGUUGUAAACCUCUUUCAGUAGGGAAGAAGCGAAAGUGACGGUACCUGCAGAAGAAGCGCCGGCUAACUACGUGCCAGCAGCCGCGGUAAUACGUAGGGCGCAAGCGUUAUCCGGAAUUAUUGGGCGUAAAGAGCUCGUAGGCGGUUUGUCGCGUCUGCUGUGAAAGACCGGGGCUCAACUCCGGUUCUGCAGUGGGUACGGGCAGACUAGAGUGCAGUAGGGGAGACUGGAAUUCCUGGUGUAGCGGUGAAAUGCGCAGAUAUCAGGAGGAACACCGAUGGCGAAGGCAGGUCUCUGGGCUGUAACUGACGCUGAGGAGCGAAAGCAUGGGGAGCGAACAGGAUUAGAUACCCUGGUAGUCCAUGCCGUAAACGUUGGGCACUAGGUGUGGGGGACAUUCCACGUUUUCCGCGCCGUAGCUAACGCAUUAAGUGCCCCGCCUGGGGAGUACGGCCGCAAGGCAAAACUCAAAUGAAUUGACGG
RNAcentral lists this ribosomal RNA (567 nucleotides) under uncultured bacterium. RNAcentral's name for it is "bacterial SSU rRNA". It matches the Rfam family "Bacterial small subunit ribosomal RNA", at positions 338 to 916 of the family's 1533-position model. The record is from RNAcentral.